UGCCAGCCGCCGCGGUAAUACGUAUGUGGCAAGCGUUGUUCGGAAUCACUGGGCAUAAAGAGUACGUAGGCGGUCUUGUAGGUUGGGUGUGAAAUCCCACAGCUCAACUGUGGAACUGCGCUCAAAACCCCAAGACUUGAGGGAGACAGAGGUAAGCGGAACUGAUGGUGGAGCGGUGAAAUGCGUUGAUAUUAUCAGGAACACCGGUGGCGAAAGCGGCUUACUGGGUCUCUUCUGACGCUGAGGCACGAAAGCUAGGGUAGCGAACGGGAUUAGAUA
Molecule: ribosomal RNA, 279 nt
Filed under: uncultured bacterium
Lineage: Bacteria
Description: partial 16S ribosomal RNA
Rfam family: Bacterial small subunit ribosomal RNA
Source: RNAcentral